GACGAACGCUGGCGGCGUGCCUAAUACAUGCAAGUCGAACGCUUCUUUCCUCCCGAGUGCUUGCACUCAAUUGGAAAGAGGAGUGGCGGACGGGUGAGUAACACGUGUGUAACCUACCCAUCAGAGGGGGAUAACACUUGGAAACAGGUGCUAAUACCGCAUAACAGUUUAUGCCGCAUGGCAUAAGAGUGAAAGGCGCUUUCGGGUGUCGCUGAUGGAUGGACCCGCGGUGCAUUAGCUAGUUGGUGAGGUAACGGCUCACCAAGGCCACGAUGCAUAGCCGACCUGAGAGGGUGAUCGGCCACACUGGGACUGAGACACGGCCCAGACUCCUACGGGAGGCAGCAGUAGGGAAUCUUCGGCAAUGGACGAAAGUCUGACCGAGCAACGCUGCGUGAGUGAAGAAGGUGUUCGGAUCGUAAAACUCUGUUGUUAGAGAAGAACAAGGACGUUAGUAACUGAACGUCCCCUGACGGUAUCUAACCAGAAAGCCACGGCUAACUACGUG
This 508-nucleotide ribosomal RNA is filed under the name uncultured bacterium. RNAcentral describes it as "partial 16S ribosomal RNA". It matches the Rfam family "Bacterial small subunit ribosomal RNA", at positions 28 to 507 of the family's 1533-position model. The record is from RNAcentral.